GGUGGCUUAGAGGUAGAGCACUUGCCUUGCAUGCAUGAGGCCCUGGGUUCAAUUCCUCAGCACCA
This 65-nucleotide transfer RNA is filed under the name Dipodomys ordii (Ord's kangaroo rat). It matches the Rfam family "tRNA". From Rfam's summary of the family: Transfer RNA (tRNA) molecules are approximately 80 nucleotides in length. Their secondary structure includes four short double-helical elements and three loops (D, anti-codon, and T loops). Lineage: Eukaryota; Metazoa; Chordata; Mammalia; Rodentia; Heteromyidae. The record is from Rfam by way of RNAcentral.